This 358-nucleotide ribosomal RNA is filed under the name uncultured bacterium. RNAcentral's name for it is "bacterial SSU rRNA". It matches the Rfam family "Bacterial small subunit ribosomal RNA", at positions 9 to 367 of the family's 1533-position model. The record is from RNAcentral.
GAGUUUGAUCCUGGCUCAGAUUGAACGCUGGCGGCAUGCCUUACACAUGCAAGUCGAACGGCAGCACGGGGGCAACCCUGGUGGCGAGUGGCGAACGGGUGAGUAACAUAUCGGAACAUACCCUAGAGUGGGGGAUAACGUAGCGAAAGUUACGCUAAUACCGCAUACGCACUAAGGUGGAAAGUGGGGGAUUCGCAAGAACCUCAUGCUCAUGGAGUGGCCGAUAUCUGAUUAGCUAGUUGGUGAGGUAAAGGCUCACCAAGGCGACGAUCGGUAGCUGGUUUGAGAGAACGACCAGCCACACUGGAACUGAGACACGGUCCAGACUCCUACGGGAGGCAGCAGUGGGGAAUUUUGG